GACGAACGCUGGCGGCGUGCUUAACACAUGCAAGUCGAACGGAAAGGCCCUGCUUUUGUGGGGUGCUCGAGUGGCGAACGGGUGAGUAACACGUGAGUAACCUGCCCUUGACUUUGGGAUAACUUCAGGAAACUGGGGCUAAUACCGGAUAGGAGCUCCUGCUGCAUGGUGGGGGUUGGAAAGUUUCGGCGGUUGGGGAUGGACUCGCGGCUUAUCAGCUUGUUGGUGGGGUAGUGGCUUACCAAGGCUUUGACGGGUAGCCGGCCUGAGAGGGUGACCGGCGACAUUGGGACUGAGAUACGGACCAGACUCCUACGGGAGGCAGCAGUGGGGAAUAUUGCACAAUGGGCGGAAGCCUGAUGCGGCAACGCCGCGUGCGGGAUGACGGCCUUCGGGUUGUAAACCGCUUUCGCCCGUGACGAAGCGUGAGUGACGGUAAUGGGUAAAGAAGCACCGGCUAACUACGUG
Molecule: ribosomal RNA, 468 nt
Filed under: uncultured bacterium
Lineage: Bacteria
Description: partial 16S ribosomal RNA
Rfam family: Bacterial small subunit ribosomal RNA
Source: RNAcentral